Molecule: ribosomal RNA, 305 nt
Filed under: uncultured bacterium
Lineage: Bacteria
Description: bacterial SSU rRNA
Rfam family: Bacterial small subunit ribosomal RNA
Source: RNAcentral
UUGCCUACGGGAGGCAGCAGUGGGGAAUAUUGGGCAAUGGAGGAAACUCUUACCCAGCAAUGCCGCGUGAAUGAAGAAGGUCUUCGGAUUGUAAAGUUCUUUAAUUGGGGACGAAAAAAAUGACGGUACCCAAGGAAUAGGCCCCGGCUAACUACGUGCCAGCAGCCGCGGUAAUACGUAGGGGGCAAGCGUUGUUCGGAAUGACUGGGCGUAAAGAGCGCGUAGGCGGGAUAGCAAGUCAGAUGUGAAAUCCUAUGGCUUAACCAUAGAACUGCAUUUGAAACUGUUAUUCUAGAGUAUGGGAG